This is a long non-coding RNA of Esox lucius (northern pike), 12831 nucleotides long. The record is from Ensembl. Lineage: Eukaryota; Metazoa; Chordata; Actinopteri; Esociformes; Esocidae.
AGUUUUCCCACCCAGCUGAGUUUUGUCAUGAAGUCGGGAAUUGUGAGCUUAUAUGUGCAGUUGAUAUCCGCAACAGCAAGUGUCAAAACUACACACUUAAGAAGAAAAAGGGUUACUAUUUUGAGUUAUAACUAAGAAAGAUAGAAAGGAAUAAAUAAGACGAUAGGACUAUUAGUGACUCUUUCCCAGGACAGCAGAGAGCGACAGUAGCUGCAGUGAAGGAGCAAACACCGGUCUUCUCUGAGGUUUCCGAUCAUCUCUUCAGUCACAGAGGACCCAUGCCAGUAUGGGAGCUGCACUUGAAAUUGUACUGUGCAGAGAGUGUGGGAGAACAAUAGAUAUUGACUUUUUGACUUUUCUUAUCAAACUUGUUUUUGGUUUGGAUUUUGGAUGGAACCUGGUAGCUAGGCUUAAAGAAAGGAAUUUAAACUUAUGCAAGCAGUGUUACAGGAGAAAGCAGGAUGCAGAAGAAGAGCAAAUGAGGGAGGAAGAGGAGAGGAAAAGGAGACAAGAGAGGAGACGGAGAGAGGAGGAGGAGACAAGACUGAGGGAGGAGGAAGAAAGGAAAAGGAGACAAGAGGAGGAGAGAAGGAGAAAGGAGGAGAAAAGAUUAAUGGAGGAGGAGAAGAGACAGAUGGAGGAGGAGAGAAGAGAGAAGCAGGAGGAGGAGAGGAGAAUAAGGGAAGUGGGGUUUAGUCUGGAAAAGACUCAGACUGAGUUGCAGGAAAAGAGGAGAAAUGAGAGGAGAGCAGAGGAGGAGAGGCGUGAAACCACAGUGGUCACAGAGACAUUCCAGUCACAGUGCCGCUCCCCAGAGAGCAGACAGCCAGACAGAGGAUUACUCAGCAUCCUGUCUCAAAAGUGUGGAAUCCCUGAGGGAGACAUAGAUCUCCGAAGACUCCGACCCCAGCAGGUCCUGUCCCUUUCUCGCUCUCUCCGGGAGCUCCUGUUCCAGGAAUGGGAGGAGCAGCCACCCCCGAUGGACACACUGACUCACACUCAGGUCCUGCUCGCAGAGCUUUGUGUGAUGGCGCUGGACACUCACAGCGAUGCCUCUCUGGAGUGUGCUGCUGACCAGCUGCAGCUGGCAGUACAGACAGUGGGAUAUGCAGUGACGGUGGCAGUAGUUGAGGAAGAGGAGUGGCAAUAUCUCAACUUCACACAGGCCCUGUUCUUGACUUUCACUAAUCUCUUUGAGGACAGGCCUGAUUCCCAGCUGAGUGUCUUCUCUGUGGCUAAUGAAUGGAGUCAGGAAGACAUCUCCUUGGAGCAGCUCUUCCUUGCCAAGUUUCUGGAGCUCCUCCUCAGAGCCCUGGAAAAGGAAACAGGCCCAGUUUUGGGUGUCCAGGAGAAGUGUCUGGAGCUGAUACUAGAUGCUAUAGGGCAGUGGCCACUUACAGAAACCGAUUCCUUUGCUGCUCUGUCUCCAGCAGUACUGGCACUUUUGGAUGUUAACUGGACAUCCCUGGAGGCACUGGACUUAAUAGGGAGUUUAGCACAGAAUAGGGUGAGCCCUAGUGGUGCGCUCUGUGUCCUAGACCUGGUGGAACGGCACAAUCUGCCCUCAUCCUGGAGAGACAAGCAGGGCCACUCAUUAAACACCCUGCUGGAGUCAACAUGUGAUUUCAACACAUUUUACUCUGGUUUAGACAAGGAGCUGCAGAAGGAAUGCACACAUAACCUGGAGUUCCUCCUUACCCAGGUGCCAGAACGACGGUGGAGUGUGAUCAAUACCGUGCACAAAGAAAUGAAAGACAAUCAGUGUGAAAUUAAAGAUAAAGUCAAUGCAGUUAUAUCUCACAAAAGCCUUUACAGGGGCUCUUUGAGAGGCUCCAAAUUUGGGCAAACAGAGCUGAAGAUACUACUUUCCAUCCUGAGCAGAGCAGUGCUCCACACACAGGGCAGGGGGCCCACAGUAGCUCAAAUGGUCAGAUGGUGUAACCUGGCCAUUAAUAACAGCGACGAUGAGUUCCUCACACUGGAAAGAGACCCCUGUGUGGCAGUAAUGCAUGCAGCCCUGAUGGUCUUUCAGGGCAGACAGGUGGGUAUAGUUCUGGGCUCUCCCUCCUAUAGGCCACAGGACUGGUCUUCAUUCUACCAGAUGCUUGGAAUUAACGUGCAAACAAGCACUACUGUCCCAUUAACCCAGCACUGUGAGUCGGAUAUUGUCUGUGGCAGCCUUGAGAGUUUUAUACAUGACUUCCUCCAACAUGGAUCUGGUCCAAGAGGGAGAGGCUUGGCACCUCUGCCUGACUGCCUCAUUCUUGGACAACCUCUGUCAAACAGAGAAUUAUGUUUCCCCAGGCUGUCCCAAAGCUCAGAGCUUGCACAUAAUCUGACUGAUAUCCUGCACUCUCUAAUGCCAACCUCAAAAAACAAUGCAGAUCAGUGCUUCAAGUUAAUGCACACAUUCCUCCACACACUCUCAACCCUCACCAAAGACAUCCAGCUACCAUUUGGAGAGGACAUGGCGUCAAUUUUCCAGCAAUUCUCAAAGCAGGCCAUUUGUCCGUAUCAGCAGUACAUGUUGAGGUUCCUGGAAACUUUCCUCAGGUCUACUUGUGACACACAGACAAAGGAAAAGUGCUAUGAGCUUCUGACUGCCACAGCAGUACAGAAUUGCAGUGAGGAACUCUGCAUAGAAUCUCUAUCCAAACUAUCAGACCUGGUAAGGAGUGGACGAUGGGCUCCGGCAGAUGCUUUGGACCUAUUCAUUUUCUUGGUGAAAAAGUUCAGAAAAGGGGAAAACCUUUUCACCUCGGUCCUGAAAGUGCUUCAUUCCCUGGAAAUCCACUGUGUCUGUCCCAGCUUCAGGGACAGAGAUGGAUGCUCAUUGACUCAGCUGCUAGAAUCUGAAGCCUCCACCACUCACCUAAUUUCUCGGCUCAGAGACUCCUUGAGCACAGAGGGUGAGAAGAGCCUGGAAGACAUUCUCCAAGAAAUGUGUGAAUCAAACAGAAGCAUCACAGAGACCACACUCCAAGAGGUGAGGGGCAUUCUAGCGUCUUGGCAGACUUGCAAGAUUAGGACGGUCCCAAAAUUUUCCAAAGGCUCCCUAAACUGUACUUUGAAGAGAGAGGAGCUGGCUGCAGUCCUGUUUGCUCUCUGCAAAGCUGUGUAUGAGACACAGGGCUGGUGGCCCAGAACAACUCAGAUAGUCAGCUGGUGUCUGCUGGCUCUCUCUGUCUCAGGGAGGCUGCUGCAGCUUGGAACAGGUGAGGGGAAGUCCUGUGUUGUAGCCAUGUUCACAGCCUUCAGGGCUCUGCGAGGGGAGAGAGUGGAUGUGCUCUCCAGCUCUCCCAUUUUGUCCAAGAGAGAUGCUGCUGAUUGGCGUCCAUUCUACAGCCUAUUUGAUGUCUCUGUCGACUGCAACACGGAUAAAGACAAAGACGAGGAUCGUAAGAGGUGCUACAGUUGUGAUGUAGUCUAUGGCACGGCUGAGAGCUUUGCCGCAGACUGCUUGCGCCAGAGCUUUGAAAUGAAGGAGGUGAGGCCUGGCCGUGGAUUUCAGUGCGUCAUUGUGGAUGAGGUGGACUCUCUCCUGUUAGACAAGGGAGUACAGAUGACCUAUCUCUCUACUGAUGUAGCUCCUAUGCAGCACCUAAAUAUUGUGCUGGCCAUGAUCUGGGGUAUCGUCAGCCAGUACGGUCUGGUGCCAACAGGCACGGGAACCAUGAUCCGAGGCCCCGUCCUGCCUUUUCACAAAGCCCUGUUUGACUCUGUGGAGACUGAAGAUGGUGUGGAGCCACUCACAUUCUUACAGCGGGCAGAGAACAGUGGGUUGAUACCCAAUGGCUUCUGCAAGGACUGUGACUCUACAAAGAAACUAACAGAGAAAUUAAAGACAGUGUCCCAGGACACAAUGCUGCAGUUUUUCCACUUGCCUGAGAAGGGGUUUAAAAGUUCAUCACUUUAUAAGUUCAUCACUUACACUCAAGACCAGCGAGGAACCCUGCUGCAUCACUCAGACAAUGACAGGGAAAGUGAGGGAGAAAAAAAUGAUCACAAGGUAUUUUUCUUGGUUCUGGAUGAAGGCCUGUGCUGUGCUCUGUAUGAGGAUGAGGAGACCCUCUGUGACGCCAUUGUGGAGGGUGUGAAAGAUCGGCUGCAGUUUAGCGCAUGUAAUCCAGACAAGAAUGAUAAAUGUCAAUGUGGAGCAGAUAAACACAAAACCAGAGUCCCUGGGUUCCUAAAAGAGCUGGUGGAAAAGAAUCUAAGGGUUUGGGUUCAAAAUGCCUUCCUGGCCGUCAAGGUGCAGGAGGGUCAGGAGUACAUAGUAGAUGGGGAACAAAUUCUCCCGGUGGAUUAUAGCUGCACCGGUAUCGUUGAGCGCAACAAGAAGUGGGGAAAUGGCCUGCAGCAGUUCCUGGAGAUGAAACACCAAACCAAGCUGAGCUGCAUGUCCAUCAUUACCAACUACCUCUCCAACGUGGCCUUCUUCAGGCAGUACGGGGGCCAGGUGUACGGCACCACUGGGACUUUGGGGACACAGUCAGAGAUCGAUCUGCUGCAGGAGCUCUACCCAGGCCUCUCCACCUGUGAGAUUCCAUCCUUCAACCGGAAAAAGCUGUCUGAGGUCAAGGGGGUGCUGGAGAGCAAUGUGGAUAAGUGGAGGGAGAGGAUUUGCUCCUCUGUCUUGGAGCAGACUCGUCCAACCUCCUAUCGAGAUGGAAGGGCAGCACUGGUCAUCUGUGAGUCUAUCAACCAAGCAAUGGACAUCCACAAGGCUCUCAAAGAGCAGGGGAGUGAGAAACAGCUCAGUCUCUAUACCAACAGCAACCAGGACAACUCCAGCAUCACAAGCCAGCUUCUCCGACCUGGGGAUGUGAUCGUGGCCACUAACUUGGCAGGUCGUGGAACAGACCUGCUUGUCUCCAAAGAGGUGAAUGGGGCCGGGGGACUGUUUGUAGUCGUCACCUUCCUGCCUGAUAACGCCCGAGUGGAGAUGCAGGCUUUCGGGCGCACGGCUAGGAAAGGGAGCCCUGGCUCGGCGCAGCUCAUCAUCUGCUCUGCACAUCUGCAGGAGCCCCUGAGAAAUGCGUCCACACUCCAGGAUGCCAGAGCAGCUAGAGACUCACUGGCCAUGGAUCAGGUAUCCCGUGUCCUGCAGGAUGAUAUCCCUGAGAUCUCCCUCAGAGAGGAGCUCUUUUCCCAAUAUUGCCAGAUUCUCAAAGGGAUCUACCAGCCCUUUUCCAAUUCAUCGUUAGGCAACUUAGACAUCUACAACAGCAAGCGCAGGGUGACAUUGGCAGUGCUGAACGAGUACUGGGGGAUUUGGCUGCUGAGAAAAUCGGAUGAGAUUGAAAAGUUGGAAAAAUCUCAGCUGAUGAAGAGCCUGGAGACUGAUAUAAAACGCGCCCAUCAGCAGUCCCAAGAAAACCUCUCUCCCUGUUCUAGCAUCUACCAUUUCAUCAAGUUUGGAAACAAAUUACUCGGUGAAAAUAAACUGAAGGAGAGCGCAGAGCUGUACAGUAGUGCCAUAGAGCUGGAUAGAUGCUGGGCUGCUAUUGCGCUCUAUAAACGUGCUUACUGCACUCUGAGGCAAAAACAAAAAGACUGUAUGGAAAAUGCAUCAAAAGACUUGGAGAAGGCCUUGGUUUCUGUGGAACUGUUUUUAGAACAAUGCACAAUAACCCAGCAACUGGUGAGCCUGUCAGAUAGAGACUCUGGGAAGACCAAGAGUGCCUUCCAGAAACAGAUGCAGGUCAGGAUACAAGUGCUCACAUACUUCCACAAUAACAUCAGCAGAGCAAUGGAGAAGCUUGAGUUGAUCAAACAGGAUAAAGAAGAAGCCCUUGUUGAUGAAAGCUCUGUCUUCAAUCUGGUCGAGGAUCCCAAUGACGAUGUUCACCAAGAGCUGUAUGAGUUUUACAAGCUGGGUAUGGAGAUGGUGUUUUCAGUGAAGCAGAAGCCCAGAUUCUGCUGGAAAGGCCUAGCUGUAUUCUUCCUGGGGGUGGCUCAGAUUGUGGGGGGGGUCCUCCUCACUGCAUUCACUGGUGGGGUGCUGCUACAAGUGGGGUUCCAGUACAUCAGUGAUGGGAUAUCAGACUGCAUCACUGGUGUGGAAGCCAUGAUCACAGGAACUUUCAGCUGGGCCUCCUGGGCUAUCAGCAAAGCUGUGUCCCUGGCUGUCUCACUCAUUGGCUUUGGAGUGGGAAAACUGAUCUCCAAGGGCUGGAGAGCCAGCAAAAAUGCCAUUAGUGGCUUUGGAAAAAAGCUCACCUCUCUUCCGAAACUAAUCUCUAACCAGGCCAAGGGUGGACUGCAGGCAGUCAUGAGAGAAAAUGUGAAAAACACUUUGAAAUAUGUUGGGAAGGAGGUUGUCCAGCAAACUGUAAUGUAUGGAGUGGGAAAAGUAGAGGAGAAAAUUAUUGAUGAAAUCACUAAUGAAAUUAAAGAAGUUGUCAAAACCACAGUCUUGGACAAGUGUAAAGACAGUAUUGGCUGCCAACCAAUGGGACCCUUGGUCGACAGGAUGGUGCUUGUGCACAUUGAAGAGCAAGGAUACCUCAGUGACCUUCUAGAUGAACCAGAGAAAAGAUCACGGAUGAAAAGGAUUUUUACAGAUAUCUGUGAAAAGGUUCUGAGGUCUCACUGUGCAGGCCUGGGCUGGCAAAAUCGUCUGCAUUCAUCCCUUCAGAGUGUCAUUAAAAGAGUUGCACAGGAGAAUAAUGGAAAGAUGAGAGCAGUUUGUAAAGCAAUUCAGGCAGCUCACAUGGGAGGUCUCUGUGUCGAUGCAAUUUAUUCAGCCAAAGAAGUUGCCAAUGAAUUCAACAGUGCAUUCUUGGAGGAGCUGCAGAAAAGAGUGAAAGAGCUUUAUGGAAAGAGAGGAACAGAUGAAAGUAAAAUAGAAGAGAAAAGAAAAAAUAUUUGUGGCAAUGACAUGGUGAAAUUAAAUGCAUUUAAAACAGAGGUGGCCGAAGUGAUGGCUUCUUGUCUGGCUGAAACAGUAUUCCAGGUUUUUCACCAGAAAUUCUCCAGCCACUUGGUUGGGCUCGCUCAAGAACAAAUAAAUGGCUACAUUGGUGGGUUCAUUUCCAAACGUCUGAUGACUGAUAGGACAAAAGAGAAGCUGGUAGGAGGCCUGAACAGCAGUUACAUAGCCAAUGCCCCACUAAGAAGGAAAUCCAAUAAACUUUCAAAAGUGGAAGAUCAACGUUUGGCAGAAACAUACGCAGAGGAAAUGAGGCCGCAAAGCACAUUCCCUCAUGAUUACAAUCCAGCCACCAUCCUGGAGGCCAGGUUACUGGCUGAAGAAAGCGGGAAGACUGUUGUUAUUUACAUCACAAACAGGCAAGGACAGAAAAUGAAAAUGUCUGUGGUUCAUCCCAGCCAGAGCUCCAAUCAGGGCAGUGUGAACCUACUGUACCAUCCCAGUAGUGAGCGUUAUCCCCAGGGUCACUACGACGCUCUGCACAAUGACCAGGUUGUGCCGGUCUCUGGCGAGGGGAACAAUUGCAUGUUCCAGGCGUUCGCUCGUGGCUUAGACCCUGAUGCCUCUGAUGAACAGAUCCACUCCAGGGCCUCCCAGCUGAGGCAGCAAGGGGCAGAUAUGGUCCUGAAGGAGCCGAACAAGUGGGUGCCGCUUAUCAAGUGCAGACAGAGGGCACUGGAGAUACGGGGAGGCAGCUGGUUCAUGGCAAAAGGGGGGAUGGAUAACCCAGAAAAUUGGGGUUUGGUUGAUACCUACUAUAACAACCGGAAACUACUGCAAGGUGUCAGUGUUAGUAAAAAUAUCCAUGCUGACCACCAGCCAGCAGUUGACAGUAUCUUACUUGCUUACAAAAUGGAUCCUGAAAGCAACCUGGCAAAGUCACUGAUAGAGAUAGGAACCAAUAAACCGUUCACCAGUGACUCCCUAAAGAAUCUGAAAAAACAGCAUGGACAGCACCUUAUAACUGUCACACUGCCUGAUCAAUUACACAGGAGUUGCCUCACCAAUUUAAAAGAAUUUAGAACUCUACAAGCUCAAUACAUUAGCAGUAAUGAUGUGGAGGGCUUUUUAAAGAUGUCUGUCCUGGCUGCCUCACCAGACCUAAUGUGUCUCCGGAAUAACACUCUGGUGAAUACACAGGCGAUGAAGAAUUACAAAGCUAUGUACCAAAACAGCAGUAAGAAGCUAAUUGACCAAUGGGCAGUUAAACUUGAAGGCAGAGGUUUCCAAGUACAGCGGGAGGUACAAAACGUGAAAAGCUGGCUUGGUGGGACAAUAGAAAAGAACGAUGCUCAUUACAAAGCAGCUUUGAAUACUAUAAAGCCGAAGGUAGGAUUUCAUUAUUAUUUUGUAAAUAAUAUUGUGAAUAGCUGCUAUGUUGUUAGCUAGAAAUGUGUGUGAAUUUUCCCAUUUAUCUGUCUCACUCUGAAAUUAGACAUUCCUGACUUUUUACUCAAUCUACCAACAUCUAACUCUAAUCCUACCCAUCUACCUGUAUUCUGACUGAUUGAUCUAACUCUCCUUGUAGCCAGCUACCUGUUUACUGAUUGUCCUAACUCUAUUCGUAGUUAUCUCCCUAUAUACUGAUGAAUCUAACUCUACUCGUAGUUAUCUCCCUAUAUACUGAUUAAUCUAACUCUACUCGUAGUUAUCUCCCUAUAUACUGAUGAAUCUAACUCUACUCCUAGUUUUUCUACCAAUAUACUGAUUAAUCUAACUCUACUCCUGUUUAUCUACCUAUAUAAUGAUGAAUCUAACUCUACACCUGGUUAUCUACUCAACCAAUAUACUGAUGAAUCUACAUCUACUCCUAGUUAUAUACCCAAUAUACUGAUGAAUCUACCUCUACUCCUAGUUAUAUACCCAUAAUACUGAUGAAUCUAACUCUACUCCUAGUUUUUCUACCAAUAUUCUGAUGAAUCUAACUCUACUGCUGUCUAUCAACCUAUAUAAUGAUUAAUCUAACUCUACUUACUAGUUAUCUACCUAUACAAUGAUGAAUCUAACUCUACUUCUAGUUAUAUACCCAUAUACUGAUGAAUCUAACUCUACUCCUAGUUAUAUACCCAUAUGCUGAUGAAUCUACCUCUACUCCUAGUUAUAUACCCAUAUACUGAUGAAUCUACCUCUACUCCUAGUUAUAUACCCAUAUACUGAUGAAUCUAACUCUACUCCUAGUUAUAUACCCAUAUGCUGAUGAAUCUACCUCUACUCCUAGUAAUAUACCCAUAUACUGAUGAAUCUAACUGUACUCCUAGUUAUAUACCCAUAUACUGAUGAAUCUAGCUCUACUUCUAGUUAUAUACCCAUAUACUGAUGAAUCUACCUCUACUCCUAGUUAUAUACCCAUAUACUGAUGAAUCUACCUCUACUCCUAGUUAUCUACUCAACCAAUAUUCUGAUGAUUCUAACUCUACUCCUAGUUAUAUACCCAUAUACUGAUGAAUCUACCUCUACUCCUAGUUAUCUACCCAUAUACUGAUGAAUCUAACUCUACUCCUAGUUAUCUCAAGAUGUUAAACCGACUUGUAGUAUCCCCUUAGUGAGUUUCAUGCAUUGCUCUAAAUGCAAAAUGUUGUUUUUACAUGCUAAACCACACCAGGUUUACACACACAUACACAAAGUCUUUCAACUUUCUUUUUUUUCAGAAUCAGAAUUCUGCUAGAAACAAUAACCAGACCAAGAUGAAUAAAUCUACUUUAAAUUGCCAGAACCAGAAACCAACAUUGAAGUAAAGGAAGAGAUUCAUGCAAUCCAUCAUUAUGUGGACUUCUAUAUGGACUCUUUCCUGUUCCAAAAAGUCUUUGCACUGUGCCCAACACCCGUUUCCUAGUCCUACUUAUCUUUAAUCCUCUGAAAAAUAUUGCCACCUCCAGGCCAGUGUUGAGAACUACAGUCAUGAAUGUCUUAUUUGUAAAAUGCUUUUGAUGAAGUGGAACUGGAAAAAUAACUAUCAACACUCAAUCUGCGUUUGAAUCCUGAAUGGCUACAUCUCCAGCUUCGGCCAUUCCCCUUUUUGCUUCUAUUGUUAUUUGCUUUUCAGUUAUACAGUGCCACUUCAGUAACGUUUCAAUAGCGCCAACUAAGAUCAGAUUAGAUUCAACUUGGACAAUGAACAGUACAAGUACAGUAUAAUGAAAUGCAGUUUGCAUCUAACCAGAAGUGCAAUUAGAAGAGGGCAGAAAAUAUAAAGUAUUAAGUAUAAUGUAUAUUACAAGUGUAAUGUAUAAAUGUGCAAUGAAGGCAAAUGCAAUUACAAAUGGCAAUUCUAAAUGUGCAAUGAAGGCAAUUGAAGGUGCAUGUGCAACUGAAAUGCAGGAAUAGCAGCAAUGAGGUUCCAGAGGUAGAUUUGUACAUGUAUCAACUGAAUAAUUCGUCAUUAUACUUUGCAAAGCUGUGUCAGUCAGAGAGAAAAUGACAAGUAUUAUUUAUAAUGUAUGUUGCAAGUGGGAUAUAUCGAUGUGCAAUGAAGGCAAAUGCAAUUACAAAUGGCAAUUCUAAAUGUGCAAUGAAGGCAAUUGAAGGUGCAUGUGCAACUGAAAUGCAGGAAUAGCAGCAAUGAGGUUCCAGAGGUAGAUUUGUACAUGUAUCAACUGAAUAAUUCGUCAAUAUACUUUGCAAAGCUGUGUCAGUCAGAGAGAAAAUUACAAGUAUUAUUUAUAAUGUAUGUUGCAAGUGGGAUAUAUCGAUGUGCAAUGAAGGCAAAUGCAAUUACAAAUGGCAAUUCUAAAUGUGCAAUGAAGGACAUUGAAGGUGCAUGUGCAACUGAAAUGCAGGCAUAGCAGCAAUGAGGUUCCCAAGGUAGACACUUGUGUAGCAACUGAAAAACGCCCUUAUCAGACUUUGUAAAGGAGUGUCAGACUCCAGUAGUACCAGGGAGUAGUGCCACAAGGUCCCUGAGCGACAGUGCUAAGAGGUGGGCGGGUGGGUAUGGUUAGUGAUGGGUGCAGAGUUCAGCAGGGUUACAGUAGUAGGGAAGAAACUGUUCCUGAGCCUGCUGGUGUGGGAACAAAGAGACCUGUACCACUUGCCUGAUGGGAGGAGGGCAAACAGUUUGUGGCAUGGAUGUGAAAGGUCCCUGGUGAUGCCGCGUGCCCUAUUCAGAUAUCGCUUGCACUGGAGUUCUACGAUGGUUGUGAGCUGGGCACCAAUGAGGUGCUGGGCUGUUUCCACCACCCGUUGCAGGGACUUCUGGUCGGCCACGUAGCAUCCGCCAAACCACACUGUGGGAAUGCUCUCGAUUGUGAAGCAGUAAAAGUCACAAGGAUCUUGGGAGACAGGCAGGCCUUCUUGAGCCUCCUUAAAGAGUGCAGGCGCUGCUUUGCCUUUUUGACCCGGGUUGAGGUUUUGAGGGUCAAGGAGAGGUCCUCGGAGAUGUGGUCACCCUGGAAUUUUAAGCUGGCCACACGCUCCAGCUCAGUGCCAUCGAUGAGAUCUGUGGCAUAACUGCCUUUAAACUUCCUGUUAUCCACAAUGUGCUCUCUGGUUUUCUUUGGUUAAUGGCCAGAUUAUUGUCAGCGCAUCAUGCCGCCAGGCAUUUGACCUCCUCCCUGUGACCUCAUCCCUUUUGAACCCAUAGCGGCUGUCUAUUGCAACGACGCAAAUGGCCUGGUGUCUUCAACAAUAGUUUUUGUGCAAAUAUCAAAGUAUAUUUCAAUAUUUAAAGUUUUAUACAUUUUUGUCUAGCGCUAAAGCCCCCACAGCCUUUCACUUUUUGUUGUUGUUUGGUGAAAAAGAAUUAGAAACAUCGUUGCUUUAUUAGUGUUAAUGAUGUCAGGGUAACUAACAUAAAUAGUCACAGCGAGUAAAUGUUUGGGGAUGUUUGAUGCAGUGAAAUUUUUGUAAUAUCUUUACGAUGACAACUCUGUUGUGUUUACGUGAUGGGCAAGCACAUCAACUGUGGAGCUCAAAUGAUUGUAAUUGAUUUGUAAUGGGAAGAGUUGCAGUGUUUAGGCUUUUUUAUUCGGCUAGCAAGUUUUCAUGUGUUUCUUCUGAUUUAAAUGUUUCUAUUUUAUAUAUAGAAAUUGCCCCAGCUGCUUGUCCUAGCUAACUACUCAGCCAACUGUCAGACCAUCUAGAAAAACUGUGGCCGCAAAUGUUUGCUUAGCCUGCAAAGCAACGAGAUGUCACUUUCACUAGCUAGCUAUGCGUUGUGGUGGUAAUGUUGUUCUAUGCUGAGAACUCUUGAUCGUGAUGAUAUCCUGAAUCUGCAUAAAGAUGUGUUUUCACUUAUCUAUACAAAGUAAUGUCUUGAGGUUUGUGUGCCUGUCACAUCCUGGCUAUGCCCCUAGCCAUCUCUGCGCUGGGCUCGGGCCAUAGUCAGGACCAGACAGAAAGGGGUGCCUCUAGGCACCUCUAGUGCCAUUUUGUUCUCUCCAAUUGGAGGUAGGUGUAAAUUGUUGCAUCCAAUUGGGGAACCUAUUUAUGUUCUAUGUUUGUCCACACCUGGUGUGGAUCAUUGUGUUUGUGCUACCUGUGCAACGUGAUCGGUUGCUGACUUGCUUUUGGUUUUCUCAUUAAACCAUGGAUUACCACGACUACGUGUCUGUGCCUGUGUCCUGCCUUCACAACCGUGACAGUCCAUUAUGGUUACUUUCUGAUCACAUGAGCUUUUUGAGCUUGAAUCAUUGCUGGCUCAAUCAUAAAGAGAGUUGUUGUGUUUAGUUUUAUGUUGUCAGCAAAGUAUUUCUUGUGACUACCCAUGUCAUUCAAUUAGAAACUACCCCAGCUGCUUGCUGUAGCUAGAUAGCUAUCUAGGUUAGCUAAAUAAGUUGUGUGGUGGAAAAUUUUAUGAUUGUGUCUAUAAUGGGAAAAGAUUUAUAUAAUUCCAAGUUACAAGAAUGCGAUAUCAAAUUAAAUACCAGUAUGUGCCCUAUAAAACAAAAUAAACUUAUAAC